CAGUAGCCGCGGUAAUACGGAGGGAGCUAGCGUUGUUCGGAAUUACUGGGCGUAAAGCGCGCGUAGGUGGUUCGCCAAGUUGGAUGUGAAAUCCCCGGGCUCAACCUGGGAACUGCAUUGGUGACUGCAACGCUGGAGUGCGGCAGAGGGGGAUGGAAUUCCGCGUGUAGCAGUGAAAUGCGUAGAUAUGCGGAGGAACACCGAUGGCGAAGGCAAUCCCCUGGGCCUGCACUGACGCUCAUGCACGAAAGCGUGGGGAGCAAACAGGAUUAGAUACCCCAGUAGUCCCUGUCUCUUAUAC
RNAcentral lists this ribosomal RNA (301 nucleotides) under uncultured bacterium. Its description in RNAcentral is "partial 16S ribosomal RNA". It matches the Rfam family "Bacterial small subunit ribosomal RNA", at positions 509 to 807 of the family's 1533-position model. The record is from RNAcentral.